RNAcentral lists this ribosomal RNA (465 nucleotides) under uncultured bacterium. RNAcentral describes it as "partial 16S ribosomal RNA". It matches the Rfam family "Bacterial small subunit ribosomal RNA", at positions 338 to 795 of the family's 1533-position model. The record is from RNAcentral.
CCUACGGGUGGCAGCAGUGGGGAAUAUUGCGCAAUGGGCGAAAGCCUGACGCAGCGACGCCGCGUGAGUGAUGAAGGUCUUCGGAUCGUAAACCUCUGUCAGCAGGGAAGAACGGUCACUGUGCUAAUCAGCAGUGAAUUGACGGUACCUGCACAGGCAGCACCGGCUAACUCCGUGCCAGCAGCCGCGGUAAUACGGAGGGUGCGAGCGUUGAUCGGAAUGACUGGGCGUAAAGCGCUCGUAGGCGGUAUGUCAAGUCAAGGGUGAAAUCCCCGCGCGCAACGUGGGAACUGCUUUUGAAACUGGAAAGCUGGAGUGUGUGAGAGGAGAGUGGAAUUCCAGGUGUAGGAGUGAAAUCCGUAGAUAUCUGGAGGAACAUCAGUGGCGAAGGCGACUAUCUGGCACAUAACUGACGCUGAGGAGCGAAAGCGUGGGUAGCAAACAGGAUUAGAUACCCUUGUAGUC